CUGUGCUGUUCACCUGUGCCUUCUGUCGAGCAAUCGCUGCUCAACGGAUUGUAACUCUGGACACCAGCAGAGAGAGGGCAGGUCUCUGGACUUCCAUGACAGUGCUCCCAUAUCCAUGGGUCCUCUGAUGUGGUCUGAAGGGAACACAGAUAAGUGGGUCCCAGAUCAAGUGAAGGCAUCUGACGCUUCUUGUCUGUGUGCUUCUCUGAUGCUGUUACUUGCUGUUAUGAGUGUCAUGGCCCUCUUUUAGUUUAAC
Cyprinus carpio (common carp) is the source of this 256-nucleotide long non-coding RNA. RefSeq lists it as uncharacterized. The record is from RefSeq and is a predicted model, not a curated record. Lineage: Eukaryota; Metazoa; Chordata; Actinopteri; Cypriniformes; Cyprinidae. The transcript has 3 exons.